UCUGGUGGUUAGAGCGGAGGGGCAACACCCGUUCCCAUUCCGAACACGGCAGUUAAGCCCUCCAGCGCUGAUGGUACUGGGACAUCCCGGGAGAGUAGGUCGCUGCCAGAA
Syntrophaceticus schinkii is the source of this 111-nucleotide ribosomal RNA. Lineage: Bacteria; Bacillati; Bacillota; Clostridia; Thermoanaerobacterales; Thermoanaerobacterales Family III. Incertae Sedis. The record is from Rfam.